RNAcentral lists this transfer RNA (88 nucleotides) under Chryseobacterium sp. 52. RNAcentral describes it as "tRNA-Leu". It matches the Rfam family "tRNA". Rfam says of the family: Transfer RNA (tRNA) molecules are approximately 80 nucleotides in length. Their secondary structure includes four short double-helical elements and three loops (D, anti-codon, and T loops). The record is from RNAcentral. Lineage: Bacteria; Pseudomonadati; Bacteroidota; Flavobacteriia; Flavobacteriales; Weeksellaceae.
AGAGAGGUGGCUGAGUGGCUUAAGGCGUAUUGUUUUAAUAACAAUAUAUGCGUUCUUCGCAUCAAAGGUUCGAAUCCUUUCCUCUCUU